UGGUUUUUUUAGGUUUUGAUUUUUGUAGCGUUGGACGAGAAAAUCAAAACCUAAAGAAAAUA
Non-coding RNA from Oreochromis niloticus (Nile tilapia), 62 nucleotides. The record is from Rfam. Lineage: Eukaryota; Metazoa; Chordata; Actinopteri; Cichliformes; Cichlidae.